GAAAUUCAAUUCAAAUUUUGGGCAGAACCUCCCCUGUAAUUUGCCAUUCCUGUAGACACAAUCCACAUAUACAUUUUUCAACACACAACUUUCAAAUUUGCCAAUGGCAUGAGGCAUAAACAUGCAGACUCACAUCCAAGUACACAUAUAUGAUUUACAACAUAUCCAGGUUAGUUCAAGUCCACACACACAUGAAAUUAGCAACCCAAAAGUGACUCACAUCAUACCCAGGUUCACAUGCAUGAGUCCAACUCCACAUACAUCACAUUAGCAACCCAAAAGUGGCUCACAUCAUACCCAGAUUCACAUACAUGAGUCCAACUCCACACAACAUGACAUGAGCAGCAACAAAAGUGACUUUAAGUGCAAGAAAUUAGAUGGAGUUCACAAGCUUAGUCUUCUUUUGCUUCUUGUGCCCAUUGCAGGGCUAGUUGGGUAAGCUUUUUUGCUUCUAGUGCCCAUUGCAGGGCUGUGAAAUGGCACCAUCGGAUUAUUUUGAUCCUUUUUUAGCAAGCUUCAUCUUCCUUGUGGCCCUAAAAAGAAAGACAUGGUUGUCAAAUUAUUAUAGUGCAUGCAAUACAUAUGGAUAUAUUUGAUACAUGUAUGGCAGCAAACAACAAUAUUAACUAUUCAUAAUAUGUGAUAUUAAAAUUCAGAAACAGAAAAGGUCACCUUUUCCCCCCUUUUGCAUUUUUCUUGUUUGUAGUCUCCAAUGUUUGGUUAUGUUUUCCCUUUUUCUUGGUUGUAGUUGAAGGAAAUAUGCCCUAGAGGCAAUAAUAAAGUUAUUAUUUAUUUCCUUAUAUCAUGAUAAAUGUUUAUUAUUCAUGCUAGAAUUGUAUUAACCGGAAACAUAAUACAUGUGUGAAUACAUAGACAAACAUAGUGGCACUAGUAUGCCUCUACUUGACUAGCUCAUUGAUCAAAGAUGGUUAUGUUUCCUAACGAUAGACAUGAGUUGUCAUUUGAUUAACGGGAUCACAUCAUUAGGAGAAUGAUGUGAUUGACUUGACCCAUUUUGUUAGCUUAGCACUUGAUCGUUUAGUUUGUUGCUAUUGCUUUCUUCAUGACUUAUACAUGUUCCUAUGACUAUGAGAUUAUGCCACUCCCGUUUACCGGAGGAACACUUUGUGUGCUACCAAACGUCACAACGUAACUGGGUGAUUAUAAAGGUGCUCUACAGGUGUCUCCGAAGGUACUUGUUGGGUUGGUGUAUUUCGAGAUUAGGAUUUGUCACUCCGAUUGUCGGAGAGGUAUCUCUGGGCCCUCUCGGUAAUGCACAUCACAUAAGCCUUGCAAGCAUUGCAACUAAUAAGUUAGUUGCGGGAUGAUGUAUUAUGGAACGAGUAAAGAGACUUGCCGGUAACAAGAUUGAACUAGGUAUUGAGAUACCGAUGAUCAAAUCUCGGACAAGUAACAUAGCGAUGACAAAGGGAACAACGUAUGUUGUUAUGCGGUCUGACCGGUAAAAGAUCUUCAUAUAAUAUGUAGGAAUCAAUAUGAGCAUCCAAGUUCCGCUAUUGGUUAUUGACCGGAGACGUGUCUCGGUCAUGUCUACAUUGUUCUCGAACCCGUAGGGUCCGCACACUUAACGUUACGAUGACAGUUUCAUUAUGAGUUUAUAUAUUUUGAUGUACCGAAGGUUGUUCGGAGUUCCGGAUGGGAUCACAGACAUAACGAGGAGUCUCGAAAUAGUCGAGACAUAAAGAUUGAUAUAUUGGACGACUAUAUUCGGACACAGGAAUGGUUCCGGCAGUUAUCGGAUAUAAAACGGAGUACCGGGGGUUACCGGAACCCCCCCCCCUCCCCGGGGGGUUAAUGGGCCUCAUGGGCCCAAAGUGGAGCAGAGGAGGGGCGGCUAGGGCAGGCUGCACGCCCCCUCCCCCUCUAGUCCGAAUUGGACAAGGAGGGAGGGGCGGCGCUGUUGGAAAUAUGCCCUAGAGGCAAUAAUAAAUUGGUUAUUAUUAUAUUUCCUUGUUCAUGAUAAUCGUUUAUUAUCCAUGCUAGAAUUGUAUUGAUAGGAAACUCAGAUACAUGUGUGGAUACAUAGACAACACCAUGUCCCUAAUAAGCCUCUAGUUGACUAGCUCGUUGAUCAAUAGAUGGUUACGGUUUCCUGGCCAUGGACAUUGGAUGUCGUUGAUAACGGGAUCACAUCAUUAGGAGAAUGAUGUGAUGGACGAGACCCAAUCCUAAGCCUAGCACAAAGAUCGUGUAGUUCGUAUGCUAAAGCUUUUCUAAUGUCAAGUAUCAUUUCCUUAGACCAUGAGAUUGUGCAACUCCCAGAUACCGUAGGAGUGCUUUGGGUGUGCGAAACGUCACAACAUAACUGGGUGGCUAUAAAGGUACACUACAGGUAUCUCCGAAAGUGUCUAUUGGGUUGGCACGAAUCGAGACUGGGAUUUGUCACUCCGUGUAAACUGAGAGGUAUCUCUGGGCCCACUCGGUAGGACAUCAUCAUAAUGUGCACAAUGUGAUCAAGGAGUUGAUCACGGGAUGAUGUGUUACGAAACGAGUAAAGAGACUUGCCGGUAACGAGAUGGAACAAGGUAUCAGGAUAUCGACGAUCGAAUCUCGGGCAAGUAUCGUACCGAUGGACAAAGGGAAUUGUAUAUGGGAUUGAUUAAAUCCUUGACAUCGUGGUUCAUCCGAUGAGAUCAUCGUGGAACAUGUUGGAGCCAACAUGGGUAUCUAGAUCCCGCUAUUGGUUAUUGGCCAGAGAGUUGUCUCUGUCAUGUCUGCAUGGUUCCCGAACCCGUAGGGUCUACACACUUAAGGUUCGAUGAUGCUAGGGUUAUAGGGAAUAGAUAUACGUGGUUACCGAAUGUUGUUCGGAGUCCCGGAUAAGAUCCCGGACGUCACGAGGAGUUCCGAAAUGGUCCGGAGGUAAAGAUUUAUAUAUGGGAAGUCCUGUUUUGGUCGCCGGAAAAGUUUCGGGUUUUAUCGGUAAUGUACCGGGACCACCGGGAGGGUCCCGGUGGUCCAUCAAGUGGGGCCACCAGCCCCGGAGGGCUGCAUGGGCCAAGUGUGGGAGGGGACCAGCCCCAAGUGGGCUGGUGCGCCCCCCCACAAGGGCCCAAGGCACCUAGGGUUUGGGGAGGGGGCGCCUCCACCUAGCUUGGGGGGCAAGUUUCCCCUCUCCCCCCCUUGGCCGCCACCCUAGAUGGGUUUGGGACUGCCGCACCCCUUGGGGUGGAAACCCUAAAGGGGGCGCACCCCCCUCCCUCUCCCCUAUAUAUACCUGAGGACUUUGGGGCUGCCAACACAUGAGUUUUGACCUCUCCAUGGCGCAGCCCUGCCUCUCUCCCUACUCCUCUCCCGCGGUGCUUGGCGAAGCCCUGCAGGAUUGCCACGCUCCUCCACCACCACCACGCCGUCGUGCUGCUGCUGGAUGGAGUCUUCCCCAACCUCUCCUUCUCCCCUUGCUGGAUCAAGGCGUAGGAGACGUCACCGGGCUGCACGUGUAUUGAACGCGGAGGUGCCGUCCAUUCGGCACUAGGAUCUCCGGUGAUUUGAAUCACGACGAGUACGACUCCAUCAACCCCGUUCACUUGAACGCUUCCGCUUAGCAAUCUACAAGGGUAUGUAGGUGCACUCUCCUUCCCCUCGUUGCUAGAUUACUCCAUAGAUUGAUCUUGGUGAUGCGUAGAAUUUUUUUUAAUUUCUGCUACGUUCCCCAACAGUGGCAUCAUGAGCUAGGUCUAUGCGUAGUUUCUAUGCACGAGUAGAACACAAAGCAGUUGUGGGCAUUGAUUUUGUCAAUUUACUUGCCGUUACUAGUCUUAUCUUGAUUCGGCGACAUCGUGGGAUGAAGCGGCCCGGACCGACCUUACACGUACGCUUGCGUGAGACUGGUUCCACCGACUGACAUGCACUAGUUGCAUAAGGUGGCUAGCGGGUGUCUGUCUUUCCCACUUUAGUCGGAUCGGAUUCGAUGAAAAGGGUCAUUAUGAAGGGUAAAUAGAAAUUGGCAUAUCACGUUGUGGUUUUGGCGUAGGUAACAAACGUUCUUGCUAGAAACCUAUAGCAGCCACGUAAAAACUUGCAACAACAAUUAGAGGACGUCUAACUUGUUUUUGCAGCAUAUGCCUUGUGAUGUGAUAUGGCCAAAAGGAUGUGAUGAAUGAUAUAUGUGAUGUAUGAGAUUGAUCAUGUUCUUGUAAUAGGAAUCACGACUUGCAUGUCGAUGAGUAUGACAACCGGCAGGAGCCAUAGGAGUUGUCUUAAUUUAUUUAUGACCUGUGUGUCAACAUAAACGUCAUGUAAUUACUUUACUUUAUUGCUAAAGCGUUAGCCAUAGUAGUAGAAGUAAUAGAUGACGAGACAACUUCAAGAAGACACGAUGAUGGAGAUCAUGAUGAUGGAGAUCAUGGUGUCAUGCCGGUGACAACGAUGAUCAUGGAGCCCCGAAGAUGGAGAUCGAGAGGAGCAAAAUGAUAUUGGCCAUAUCAUGUCACUAUUUGAUUGCAUGUGAUGUUUAUCAUGUUUUACAUCUUAUUUGCUUAGAACGGCGGUAGCUUAAAUAAGAUGAUCCCUCACUAAAAUUUCAAGAAAGGUGUUCCCCCUAACUGUGCACCAUUGCGAAGGUUCGUUGUUUCGAAGCGCCACGUGAUGAUCGGGUGUGAUAGAUUCUAACGUUCGAAUACAACGGGUGUAAGCCAGAUUUACACAGCAAAAACACUUAGGUUGACUUGACGAGCCUAGCAUGUACAUACAUGGCCUCGGAACACGGAAGACCGAAAGGUCGAGCAUGAGUCGUAUAGAAGAUACGAUCAACAUGAAGAUGUUCACCGAUGUUGACUAGUCCGUCUCACGUGAUGAUCGGACACGGCCUAGUUGACUCGGAUCAUGUUUCACUUAGAUGACUAGAGGGAUGUCUAUCUGAGUGGGAGUUCAUUAAAUGAACUCAAUUAUCAUGAACAUAGUCUAAAUUGUCUUUGCAAAUAUGUUGUAGAUAAAUAGCUCAUGUUGUAGCUCCCUGUUUCAAUACGUUCCUAGAGAAAGACCAAGUUGAAAGAUAUUGUAAGCACUGAUGCGGACUAGGUCCGUAGUCCGAGGAGUGUCCUCGCUGCUACAUAGAAGGCUUACAUCUUUGAUGCACCGCUCGAUGUGCAAACCCCUACAACGUCGUCUGUGGAUGUUGUGAACACCUGACAGACACAUCCUGAUGACUACUUGAUAGUUUAGUGCACCAUACUUUAUGGCUUAGAAUCGGGAUUUGAAUGACAUUUUGAACGCCAUAGAACAUAUGAGAUGUUCCAAGAGCUGAAAUUGGGAUUUCAGGCUCAUGCCCGUGUUGAGAGGUGUGAGACCUCUAACAAGUUCUUUUGCCAACAAGAUGGAGGAGAAUAGCUCAGCUAGUGAGCAUGUGCUCAGAAUGUUUGGGUGCUACAAUCACUUAAAUCAAGUGGUGGUUAAACUUCCAGAUAAGAUAGUGAUUGAUAGAGUUCUCUAGCCACUAUCACUAGGCUACUAGAUCUUCGUGAUGAACUAUGACAUGCAAGGGAUGGAAUUGAUCCCGGAGCUGUUCGCGGUGCUUAAGACCGCAAAAGGUAGAAAUCAAGAAGGAGCAUCAACUGUUGAUGGUUUAACAAGACCACUGGUUUCAAGAAGGGCAAAGGAUAGAAGGGAAACUUCAUGGAUGGCAAACCAGUUGCCGCUCCAGUAAAGGAACCCAAGGUUGAACCCAAACCCGAGACUAAGUGCUUCUAUUGUAAGGGGAACGGUCACUGGUAGCAGAAUUACCCCAAAUGCAUGGUAGAUAAGAAGGCUGGCAACUUCAACAAAGUAUAUGCGUGUUAUUAAUGUGUACCUCGCUAGUACUCCUGGUAGCACCUGGGUAUUGGAUAUCGGUUCAGUUACUAUUAAUGGUGACUUGAAGCAAAAGCUACGGACUAAACAGAGACUGGCUAAGGGCGAGGUGACGAUGUGUGUUGGAAGUGUUUCCAAAGUUGAUGAGAUCACCAUCGCACGCUCCAUCUGCCUUCGGGAUUAGUAUUGAACCUAGAUAAAUGUUAUCAGGUGUCUACGUUGAGCAUGAAUAUGAUUAGAUCAUGUUCAUUGCAAUACGGUCAUUCAUUUAAGUUAGAGAAUAAUGGUUAUUCUGUUUACAUGAAUGAUACCUUUCAUGGUCAUGCACCCUAUGUGAAUGGUUCAUUGAAUCUUGAUCGUGGUAAUACAAAUGUUCACGCCAAAAGAUGUAGAGUUAAUAAUGAUAGUACCACUUUCUCGUGGCACUGCCGCUUAGGUCAUAUUGGCGUAAGAUGCAUGAAGAAACUCCAUGUCGAUGGAUGUUUGGAGUCACUUGUUUUUGAAUCGCUUGACACAUGCGAGCCAUGCCUCAUGGGCAGGAUGACUAAGACCCCGCUUUCAGGUACAAUGAAACGGGCAAGUGACUUGUUGGAAAUCAUACAUGCUGAUGCGUGUGAUCCAAUGAGAAUUGAAGCGUGCAGUGGAUAUCGCUAUUUUCUCAUCUUCACUGACGAUUUGAGUAGAUAUAGGUAUAUCUACUUAAUGAAGCACAAGUCUGAAACGUUUGAAAAGUUCAAGCGAUUUCAGAGUGAAGUUAAGAAUCAUCAUAACAAUAAGAUCAUGUUCCUACGAUCUGAUCAAAAGGGGAUUUUCUGAGUUAUGAGUUUGGCAAUCACUUAAGACAUUGUGGAAUUGUUCCACAGUUGAAGCCACCUGGAACACAACAAGGUAAUGGUGUAUCCGGACGUCGUAAUAGAACACUAUGAGAUAUGGUGCGAUCUAUGAUGUCUCUUACCAAUCUACCAUUUUCAUUUUGAGGUUAUGCGUUAGAGACAUCUGCAUUCACUUUAGAUAGGACACCAUCUAAGUCCGUUGAGACGAUGUUGUAUGAACAUUGGUUUGGCAAGAAACCAAAGUUGUCGUUUCUUAAUGUUUGGGGCUGCGAUGCUUAAGGCUUCAGCCGGAGAAGCUCGAACCCAAACCGGACAAACACAUCUUCAUAGGAUACCCAAAGGUGAUAGUUGGGUAUACCUUCUAUCUCGGAUCCGAGGGCAAAUUUUUUGUCGCUAAGAACGGGUCCUUUCUCGAGAAGGAGUUUCUCUCGAAAUAAUUGAGUGGGAGGAAGAUAGAACUUGAUGAGGUUGUCGAACCUUUAUUUCAACCAGAGAGUGAUGCAACACAGAAAGAUGUUUUCUGUGGAGCCUACGUCUGUCGAAUAGGAAGUUAAUGAUAGUGAUCAUGAAGCUUCGGAUCAAGUUGCUAUCGAAUCUCGUAGGUCGACAAGGAUAUGUACUACUCCUAAGUGGUACGGUGAUCCUGUCUUAGAUAUCAUGUUGUUAGACAACAAUGAACCUACGAGCUAUGGAGAAGCAAUGGUGGGCCCGUAUUCCAACAAAUGGUUAGAAGCCAUGAAAUCCGAGAUAGGAUCCAUGUAUGGACUUUGGUGGACUUGCCCGUUGAUCGGCAAGCCAUCGAGAUAAAUGGAUCUUUGAGAAGAAGACAGACGUGGGCGGUAAUGUUACCUUCUAUGAAGCUCGACUUGUGGGAAAGAGUCUUUUCACAAGUUCAAGGAGUUGACUACGAUGAGAAUUUCUCACCCGUAGCGAUGCUUAAGUCCGUCGGAAUCAUGUUAGCAUUAGCUGUGUUUUUCGAUUAUGAAAUCUGACAGAUGGAUGUCAAAACAAGUUUUCUUACCAGUUUUCAUAAGAAAAAGUUGUAUGUGAUAUAAUAAAAGGUUUUGUCGAUCCUAAGGAUGCUAAAAAGUAUGCUGGCUCCAGCGAUCCUUCUAUGGACUAGAGCAAGCAUCUCGGAAUCGGAAUAUAUGCUUUGAUGGAGUAAUCAAAGCUUUUAGGUUUAUACAAUGUUUGCUAGAAACUUGUAUUUACAAGAAAGUGAGUGGGAGCACUACAAUAUUCUGAUAAGUAUAUGUGGAUGACAUAUUGUUGAUCUGAAAUAAUGUAGAAUUUCAGGAAAGCAUAAACGGUUGUUUGAAGAGUGAUUUUCAAAGGAAGGCCUGGAUAAAGCUGCUUACAUAUUGGGCAUCAAGAUCUAUAGAAAUAGAUCAAGACGCCUGAUGAUACUUUCAAAGAACGCACACCUUGACAUGUUUUUGAAAGAGUUCAAAAUAGAUCAGUCAAAGAAGGGGUUCUCACCUGAGUUGUAAGGUGUGAAGUUGAGUAAGACUCAAAGAUUGACCACGGCAGAAGAAAGAGGAAGGACGAAGGUCGUCCCCUAUGCUCUUGUCAUAGGCUCUAUACGGUAUGCCAUGCUGAGUACCGCACCUGAUGUGUGCCUUGCCAUAUGUCUGGCAAGAGGGUACAAAGGUGAUCUAGGAGUAGAUCACCAGAUAGCGGUCAAAAUUAUCCUUAGAGGAAUAAGGAAAUGUUUCUCGGUUAUGGAGGUGAUAAAGAGUUCAACAUAAAGAGUUACGUUGAUGCAAGCUUAACACCUAUCCGGAUAGCUCUGAGUAGACAUACUGGAUACGUAUAAUGGAGCAACAAUUUGGAAUAGCUCCAAGUGGAACGUGGUAGCAGCAUCUACGAUAUAAAGUUUUGCGAAAUACAUAGGGAUCUGAAUAUGGCAAGACCCGUUGACUACAACCUCUCUCACAAGCAUAACAUGAUCAAACCCAGAACUCUUUGAGUGUUUAUCACAUAGUGAUGUGAACUAGAUCAUUGAGUCUAGUAAACUCUUGGAUGUUGGUCACAUGGCGAUGUGACCUGUGAGUGUUAAUCACAUGGUGAUGUGAACUAGAUUAUUGACUCUAGUGCAAGUGGGAGACCGUUGGAAAUAUGCCCUAGAGGCAAUAAUAAAUUGGUUAUUAUUAUAUUUCCUUAUUCAUGAUAAUCGUUUAUUAUCCAUGCUAGAAUUGUAUUGAUAGGAAACUCAGAUACAUGUGUGGAUACAUAGACAACACCAUGUCCCUAGUAAGCCUCUAGUUGACUAGCUCGUUGAUCAAUAGAUGGUUACGGUUUCCUGGCCAUGGACAUUGGAUGUCGUUGAUAACGGGAUCACAUCAUUAGGAGAAUGAUGUGAUGGACGAGACCCAAUCCUAAGCCUAGCACAAAGAUCGUGUAGUUCAUAUGCUAAAGCUUUUCUAAUGUCAAGUAUCAUUUCCUUAGACCAUGAGAUUGUGCAACUCCCGGAUACCGUAGGAGUGCUUUGGGUGUGCCAAACGUCACAACGUAACUGGGUGGCUAUAAAGGUACACUACAGGUAUCUCCGAAAGUGUCUGUUGGGUUGGCACGAAUCGAGACUGGGAUUUGUCACUCCAUGUAAACGAAGAGGUAUCUCUGGGCCCACUCGGUAGGACAUCAUCAUAAUGUGCACAAUGUGAUCAAGGAGUUGAUCACGGGAUGAUGUGUUACGGAACAAGUAAAGAGACUUGCCGGUAACGAGAUUGAACAAGGUAUCAGGAUACCGACGAUCGAAUCUCGGGCAAGUAUCGUACCGAUGGACAAAGGGAAUUGUAUACGGGAUUGAUUAAAUCCUUGACAUCGUGGUUCAUCCGAUGAGAUCAUCAUGGAACAUGUGGGAGCCAACAUGCAUAUCCAGAUCCCGCUGUUGGUUAUUGGCCGGAGAGUUGUCUCGGUCAUGUCUGCAUGGUUCCCGAACCCGUAGGGUCUACACACUUAAGGUUAGAUAACGCUAGGGUUAUAGGGAAUAGAUAUACGUGGUUACCGAAUGUUGUUCGGAGUCCCGAAUAAGAUCCCGGACGUCAUGAGGAGUUCCGGAAUGGUCCGGAGGUAAAGAUUUAUAUAUGGGAAGUCCUGUUUUGGUCGCCGGAAAAGUUUCGGGUUUUAUCGGUAAUGUACCGGGACCACCGGGAGGGUCCCGGUGGUCCACCAAGUGGGGCCACCAGCCCCGAAGGGCUACAUGGGCCAAGUGUGGGAGGGGACCAGCCCCAGGUGGGCUGGUGCACCCCCCACAAGGGCCCAAGGCGCCUAGGGUUUGGGGAGGGGGCGCCUCCACCUAGCUUGGGGGGCAAGUUUCCCCUCCCCCCCCCUUGGCCGCCACCCUAGAUGGGUUUGGGGCUGCCGCACCCCUUGGGGUGGAAACCCUAAAGGGGGCGCACCCCCCUCCCUCUCCCCUAUAUAUACUUGAGGACUUUGGGGUUGCCAACACAUGAGUUUUGACCUCUCCAUGGCACAGCCCUGCCUCUCUCCCUACUCCUCUCCCGCGGUGCUUGGCGAAGCCCUGCAGGAUUGCCACGCUCCUCCACCACCACCACGCCGUCGUGCUGCUGCCGGAUGGAGUCUUCCCCAACCUCUCCUUCUCCCCUUGGUGGAUCAAGGCGUAGGAGACGUCACCGGGCUGCACGCGUGUUGAACGCAGAGGUGCUGUCCGUUCGGCACUAGGAUCUCCGGUGAUUUGAAUCACGACGAGUACGACUCCAUCAACCCCGUUCACUUGAAUGCUUCCGCUUAGCGAUCUACAAGGGUAUGUAGAUGCACUCUCCUUCCCCUCAUUGCUAGAUUACUCCAUAGAUUGAUCUUGGUGAUGCAUAGAAAAUUUUGAAUUUCUGCUACGUUCCCCAACAGGCUCCCCCCUUUCCUUUCUCUCCUCUCUCCCUUCCUUCCCCCUCUCCUAGUUGGACAAGGAAAGGAGGGAGUCCUACUCCCGGUAGGAGUAGGACUCCUCCCUGGCGCGCCUCCUCCUGGCCGGCCGCCCCUCCCCCUUGCUCCUUUAUAUACGGGGGCAGGGGCACCUCUAGACACAACAAUUGAUCCUUGAGAUCUAUUAGCCGUGUGCGGUGCCCUCCUCCACCAUAAUCCUCGAUAAUAUUGUAGCGGUGCUUAGGCAAAGCCAUGCGACGGUAGAACAUCAAGAUCGUCACCAGCCGUCGUGCUGAAGGAAAUCUUCCCCGACAUUCUGCUGGAUCGGAGUCCGGGGAUCGUCAUCGAGCUGGACGUGUGCUAGAACUCGGAGGUGCCGUAGUUUCGGUGCUUGAUCGGUCGGGCCGUGAAGACGUAUGACUACAUCAACCGCAUUGUGCUAACGCUUCCGCUUCCGGUCUACGAGGGUACGUAGACAACACUCUCCCCUCUCGUUGCUAUGCAUCACCAUGAUCUUGUGUGUGCGUAGAAAAUAUUUUGAAAUUACUAUGUUCCCCAACAGUGGUAUCCGAGCCUAGGUUUUAUGCGUUGAUGUUGUGCACGAGUAGAACACAAGUGAGUUGUGGGCGAUAUAAGUCAUACUGCUUACCAGCAUGUCAUACUUUGGUUCGGCGGUAUUGUUGGAUCAACCAGAGUAAGAUCCGCACCAGAGUGGUACGGUAAUCCUGUUCUGGAAGUCAUGCUACUAGAUCAUGAUGAACCUACAAACUAUGAAGAAGCGAUGGUGAGCCCAGAUUCCGCAAAAUGGCUUGAAGCCAUGAAAUCUGAGAUGGGAUCCAUGUAUGAGAACAAAGUGUAGACUUUGGUUGACUUGCCUGUCAGGACCCCGACUCGAUGCCACAUCGAUCUAGCAUGUAACACCUUAUAUCACUUUGUGGCCUCACGCACGGUAUCCCCACGGGUGUCGUCUUACCUUUGCCCGGGACCGUUUGCGCAUUUUGGCACACGUAUAUGAUGGUGUCGCUAGCAUCCAUAUGAUAAAGAGCCCGGGCUGACAUGACUAGUCGUAAACCCAAAGUGGCACAGACUUACAGGGACAGGCAUCCAUGACCCAGCUUCGAACGUGUCGGUCAUCAACAAGUGGGUUCGGGCUGUAGCACUGGGCUAGCAGGACUCCGGUAAACCGGGCUGUAGCGGGCUAACAGGACUCCGGUACUCAAAGCGUGACAUUUCCCCGAAGGGACAGACACAGGAACGAAGAAGGACACAUGCCGGCCAGCCUAAGUGUUCCAGAGCAGUAGCAAGCUACCAUGGCUCAGCGGUAACACUAGGAGACAUUUCCCGGUAAGAGAGGCUACUAAAGAUAAACAACUAGAUAGUCAGAUCCCACACAUAGCAAUACACAUUACACGUACGCAUAACAUGCAAGUAUGUGCUGUACAACAUGGCAUCACAGCAUAACUCAACAACUCAUAUAGAUAAAGGCUCAGAAGAGCCAUCACAGCAUUUAUUGCAAACAGGGGUCACAAGACCCAUCAUACAGAGCAUACAAGAAACAAGCGGAAGCAUUACAUGUCUGGGUACAGACAUCUAUAAAUGAAAAAGGCUGAAGAGCCUGACUAUCCACAACAUCCGAUCAAGAUCGUAGCUGAGGUACUAGCUACUAGUCGAAGUCCACGAGAACACUAGUAAGACCGAAGUCUCCGCUGCAAAAACAUAAAUAAAGCAACAUGAGUACAAAGGUACUCAGCAAGACUUACAUCAGAUCCUAUCAUACAUGCAUUUGUAUCAAGAGGGUAAUGUGGGGUUUAGUUGCAGCAAGCCAACUUUGACUCUGUGGCUAUCCUGUUCUACGACUACCAGAAACUCUGGAGGUGAAAUAACGUACACGAGUCCACUAAUCACCACACAAUACACUACUAUGGAUUCAUCCCCGUCUCCCUACGAGAAGGCCAUCCAUAGCACUCACACUUGUCUUGAGCAUUUUAUAGUAUCCACUUCAAGUUGUCUAUGUACCAUGUAAGCAUCCAAGAAGUCCAUAACCGCGGACCCGGCUAUUCGAAUAGAUCAUGUUAACCCUGCAGGGGUGUACCUCUUCACACACGCUCUCGCCACUUACCGCCAUGUACACGUCAUGUAUCUCGGCAACCUUCAAGCGGAAGCCUGGCGAGGGUGUCGGCCACGACCUGACUAACCACACAAGACUCUAAUCCAGGUUUAUCGCCUAUUCGGGUUCCAUCCGCAAGGAGAUCCGGCCGGGGUUUCACUCACGGCCCCAAACGAUGUGUGCAGGGUUCCCAAGCCCACCUCGCCGGAUGGAUCUACGCUUGGUACACCGUGCCACUGGUGCCUAGUCUGUCCCAAGCCCACCUGGCCGGGUGCCACUUGGUAGACUACUAACACUACCUACAAACGCCAGAAACUAGUUGCGACUCCUGGACAGAGAUCAAGUUGAUUAAUAAGUCGAGAGGGCUUGGAGCGCCCGGAGCCCAAUGUGUGGUAGUAUCGAGUCAUUGGACAACAUACAUAGAACUCAGUGCUUAAGGACGGUUCCAGUGAGACAACCCACCAUGUACUCCUACAUGGCCUCUCACCGCUACCUUUACCAAAUCGUGUUCACACACUUCACUCUCAGCAUAGAACAUAUCGUGACACUCCAAUUCAUUCCCAAUGAACCAGACCUGACACACUCUAAGCAAUAGCAGGCAUAGCAUGGUAGGAACACAUCAGUGGCUUCAAUCAACUCCUACACAUGCUAGUGGGUUUCAACUAUUUACUGUGGCAAUGACAGGUCAUGCAGAGGAAUGGGUUCAGCUACCGCAGCACAAAGUAGCAGAUGAAUCGUUGUUGUCCUAAUGCAAUAACUGAGAGCAGGAGCGAGAGAGUAGGGUUUUAUCGAAAUGAACAAGGGGGUUUGCUUGCCUGGUAAAACAACAGGGGAGGCACUGCUUCACAGACAGGUACUCUGGAACGUCUCCGGAGCAGGAUCUAUCGAGAAGGAACAGUGCCGGCAAUCAAUACACAAUCAUAUGCAACAAUAUGAUGCAUGAACAUGGCAUGUAGAUGUGAUGCUGUUGAGCUAAUGCAACUAGUGUUCAAUUGGUUUGAAGUCCAUUUGAACCAAAGGUUCAAAUGCAUUUCUAAAUUAGGUCUCUUAUAUAAGCCAUAAUGUGUUUCCCAUAUUCAGCAUGUAUAAGUUGGUUUUUCAUGCAUGAAACUAGUACAGAUGGAAAGGUUGCAUUUUUCUGAUAAUUUUUCAUAUAUAAAUUAUUUAAAUCUGAGCUACGGUUGAAUUGUUAUGAAUUUUUGAAGUUUAAAUCAAUUUCUGGAUUUUCUGAAUUAUUUUAAUUCCAGAAAAUGUAUAAUUGCGUCAGCAUGACGUCAUCAUUGCAUCAGCGGUCAACGCGGCUGUCCAGGUCAAAUCUGACGUGUGGGACCCACACGUCAGUGACAGGGGGUUAACCCCGAGUCAAACCUGGGCUGGUCAGCUUUGACUAAGCCCUGGGGCCCACUUGUCAGCGUCAGCGGGUGGGGAAUUAGUGACUAAUUAACAAGCCACGUCAGCCCGCCGGAGUUCUGGCCGGCGGCGACCAUUAGCGCGGCGGCGACUCGCCGGACUUGCGUUACAGACAGCGUUUGAUCGCGCGAAGACCACCGGGGCGUAGCCCGUCUUCGUCCGCAACCAGGGGAGCUGAUGGGGGGCUGCGGGGGCGCCGGAGCUCGCCGGAGCGGAGCUCGGGGCGGCGGCCGGAGUUCGGGAUAGCGCGGGCGUGGGGCUGCAGCUCGCGUUCGAGCGAACGGAGGGCACAGGCGGUAGCUACGAGGCAGUAGGAGCACAUCGAGCUAUCUACGCGAGACGGAGGUGCUCGGGGGGCACGGAGCUCGCCGGCCAUGGCGGACGGCGGCUUCGGGCGCUCGUGGGGCAGCGGCUACAGGGCACGCGCGAGAGAGAGAGGUGAGGGGAAAGGAAGAGAGGCUCACGGCGGACUCGCAGAGCAGGCCGGUGUGCUCGGGGACGUCCUGCGUCCGGCGAAUUGACGGUGAUGGCGGCGAGGUCGAUCUCCGUCGUCGGUGGUGAAGAAGACAAUGGCGUCGGCGAUGGAGCGCGUCCGGAGGUGCGUGGCUUGACGAGGAGGUAGAGGGGGUCGAGGCGGAGCUGGGAAGCGUCUCAGGGAGGCGAGGGGAGGCCGGUGGCCGUGGUGGUUCUCGUCGGCGACGGCGGUGGUUCUCGGGUGAGAGGGAGAGAGAGCAGGGGGAGAGGAGGAGGGCGAGGGAGAGUGAGAGCGGUGCGGGGCAGCGCGUGGCGACGUCCGGGGCAUCGAGGGCGAGAGAAGGAAGCAGGAGGUGGCCAGCAGGGGGGAGGUGGCGCGCGCGCGUGCCGGCGAGCGUCGGGCACACGCCCGUCCUCCUGGCAGAGGAGGAAGGCGACAGGGGAGGGGGGCCAGGCGGGCUGGGCCGCCUCCUGGCUGGGCCGGCCUGCUGCUGCUGGGCUGCGCAGGGGAGGGGAGGCCCAGGUAAGCCCCUCCUUCUUUUAUUUUUGUUUUCUAAUUUUUCUGACAUUUGUUUUGAUUUAAUAAAUAUAUUAAAUCAUUUAAUUUGAUUAUGCCAAUUUUUGCAGGAGCUGGAUAUUAUUAUUCCAGAGCUCUUUUAUAAAUGGCAUAAUUUUUGGGCCAUAUUUCAUAUAUAUAGAAAUAUAUUUCCAAUGCAAAUAUUUAUCGAAUUAAUCCAAUUGGCCAAAAUAAAUAACCAUGAGCUCCUAAAAAUAUUGUUUUGAUUUUUUUAUCUCUGUCCAAUAUUUUUAGAGGGCAUCAUGAGCAUUUCCUUGGACCCUUUUGGAGAAAUUUUUAUUUGGGUCAUUUUCAAAAUUGAUUUUGAGGGUUCCACCAAUCCUCAUUUCAAAUUUAAAUGAAAUUUAAACAUGAUGCACAAAUGACUAGCUAGUCUAGGUCAUACCAGACUAGGGAUGUGACAACUCGCCCCCACUUGACAGAAUCUCGUCUCGAGAUUCAGGGGUCGACGGAAAGAAAGCGGGGUACUCCAGUCGAAGACGAUCUUCUCGCUCCCAAGUAGCUUCUCUCUCGGAAUGAUGAGACCACUGAACUUUGAGAAACUUGAUGUUCUGACGUCGAGUAACACGCUCUACUUGAUCAAGAAUGCGAACCGGGUACUCUCGGUAUGUGAGGUUAUCUUGGAGAUCAAGCGUUUCGUGGUCCACUCCACGGAUAGGAUUCGAGAAGCAACGCCUGAGUUGAGAGACGUGGAAGACAUCAUGAACUCGAGAAAGAUGUGGGGGUAGUUCCAACUGGUAGGCAACCUCUCCUCGUUUAGCGAGAAUGCGAAAAGGACCAAUGUAACGAGGAGCCAACUUGCCCUUGAUACCGAAACGAUGGGUACCCUUCAAAGGAGUAACCCGAAGGUAAGCUUGGUCGCCAAUUUCAUAAGUCAUAUCCUUAUGAUGACGAUCGUACUGACCUUUCUGACGAGACUGGGCUGUUUUCAAAUUCUCACGAAUGAUGCGAACUUGCUCUUCUGCCUCCUGAAUCAUGUCCGGUCCAAAGAAUUGUCUUUCACCGGUUUCUGACCAGUUCAAAGGUGUUCGACAUCUUCGUCCAUAGAGAACCUCAAAAGGAGCUUGCUUGAGGCUGGAUUGGUAGCUAUUGUUAUAAGCAAACUCGGCAAAAGGAAGACAUUUCUCCCAAUCCAUACCGAAUGAGAUAACGCAAGCUCUAAGCAUCUCUUCGAGAAUUUGAUUGACCCGUUCCACCUGACCACUCGACUGAGGGUGGAAAGCGGUACUGAAGGAAAGAUGGGUUCCCAUGGCAGUUUGGAAGCUCUCCCAAAAAUGAGAAGUGAAAAGACUGCCACGGUCUGAAUUGAUCUCUAGUGGAACACCAUGAAGUGACACUAUUCGAGAAAUAUAUAAGUCAGCAAGCUGACUAGCAGUGAUAUUUUCUCGAACAGGGAGGAAGUGAGCCACUUUGGAAAGACGAUCAACGACUACGAAGAUAGCGUUGUUCCCUUUCUUGGUCCUGGGAAAGCCGGUAAUGAAGUCCAUACCAACUUUAUCCCAUUUCCAUUCAGGAAUAGCUAAAGGCUGAAGGGUGCCAGCAGGUCUUUGAUGCUCUGCUUUAACGCGACGACAUACGUCACAUUUAGCAAUGAACUCAGCGAUUUCUCUCUUCAUCCUAGUCCACCAGAACCUCUGGCGUAGGUCCUGAUACAUCUUAGUGCUACCGGGAUGAAUCGUGAGAGGGGAUUCAUGCGCCUCCUUAAGAAUCAAUUGUCGCAGAUGUUGAUUCUUGGGAACCACCAAGCGAUUCUCAAAGAAAACAACACCACGAUCAUCCAUAGAGAAACAUCGACCAACUCCCUUCUUAAUGUUUCUCUUGAUCCGGGAAAUUCCUGUGUCUUGCUUUUGAGCAGUGAUAAUCCGAUCUUCAAGAUCAGGUUUCGCCACCAGGGUAGAAAGGAAUCCGUGAGGAGCUAUGUGAAGGUUAAGCUUACAGAAUUCCUCAUGGAGAAGUGGUUGGCCUUGCUGCAACAUGAGAUUGUUGCAAUAGGAUUUACGGCUUAGAGCAUCAGCCAUGACAUUGGCUUUGCCUGGGGUGUAGGUAAUCCCUAGAUCAUAAUCUGUGAUCAACUCCAACCAACGUCUUUGCCUAAGGUUCAGAUCUGGUUGGGUGAAGAUAUACUUGAGACUCUGGUGAUCGGUGUAGAUCUCGCAACGUUUACCAAGGAGGUAAUGUCGCCAGGUCUUGAGUGCAUAGACUACGGCUGCAAGCUCUAGAUCAUGUGUAGGAUAAUUCUCCUCAUGUGGAUGCAACUGUCGAGAUGCAUAGGCAAUCACAUGACGAUCCUGCAUAAGAAUGCAACCUAGUCCCUGUCGUGAGGCGUCGCAGUAGAUAAUAAAGUCUUUAGUGAAAUCCGGUGGCACAAGUAUGGGAGCAGAAGUCAGGCGUCUUUUCAGUUCCUGAAAACUAUACUCACACUAUGGGGACCACUCGAACUUUUUAUCUUUCUUGAGAAGUUCCGUGAGGGGUUUGGCUACUUUGGAGAAGUUUUCAACAAAGCGGCGACAAUAGCUGGUUAGACCAAGGAAACUCCUAACUUGUUUGACUGUUUCAGGUGGAGUCCAAUCGAGAACGGCUUGAACUCUCUCAGGAUUGACAGCGAUGCCCUUACCAGAGAUUACGUGGCCUAGGUAGGUCACUUCUGGCAACCAAAAUUCACACUUGGAGAACUUGGCAUAAAGGCGGUGCUCUCUGAGUUUUUCUAACACAAGUCUAAGAUGUUCAGCAUGCUCUUCCUCGUUCUUCGAGUAGAUAAGAAUAUCGUCGAGGUAAACCACGACGAACUUAUCUAAGUACUCCAUGAAGAUCGAGUUCAUCAAACGGGAGAAUGUGGCUGGGGCGUUGGUUAGGCCAAAGGACAUGACGGUGUACUCGUACUGACCAUAACGAGUGACAAAAGCUGUCUUGGGAAUGUCCCCAUUCCUGAUCUUGAUUUGAUGGUAGCCUAACCUUAAAUCCAUCUUGGAAAAGACUGAGGAUCCAGCGAGCUGAUCAUACAGGUCGUUGAUCCUGGGAAGCGGAUACUUGUUCUUUAUCGUGACCAAAUUAACGGGACGAUAAUCUACAACCAUCCGGUCCGUACCGUCUUUCUUCUUGACGAAGAGGACGGGGCAAGCCCAAGGAGAAGAACUAGGACGGAUGAAACCCUUUUGCAAGGACUCAUCGAGUUGUUUCUUAAGCUCAGCUAGUUCUAAGGGUGCCAUCUUGUAAGGUCUCCGGGAGAUUGGAGCUGUUCCUGGGAUAAGAUCUAUGACGAACUCUACAUCUCUGUCAGGCGGAACACCUGGCAGUUCCUCUGGAAAGACAUCCGGAAAGUCACGGACUACCGAGAUAUCUUCAAGGUCUGGAAGAGGGCUGGCAUUAAGGGAAUAGAGCUGACGCUUUGCAACUCUAGUGGAGACGGUGACUAUCUUGCCAGAUGGGUGUGUGAGCUGAACAGACCUGGUGAAACAAUCAAUCUUGGCAUGAUGAGCUGUCAUCCAGUCCAUACCCAAGAUGAUGUUAAUAUCCGAAGACUUGAGAGAUAUCAAGGAGGCAAGGAAUGCAAGUCUGUCCACAAGGAUUUCAUUGCCAUAACUUAUCCUAGAAGUUUGCCAUUUGGAUCCAGGAGUUUGAAUAAGUAGUGGAGAGGGCAUAUCACAAAAUGACAUGUCGUGCAAACGGGCAUAGCUUUCAGAAAUGAAGGAAUGAGACGCUCCAGUAUCGAAUAGAACUGAUGCUGGGUGACAAUUAACGAGGAGUGUGCUAAGAACGACAUCUGGAUCACCAUGAGCGGCUUUAGCUGAGACAUGAUGCACACGUCCAUGUUCAGUGGGAGCUGACUUGGCACUGACCAUCUUGCGUGAUGGCUUACCAUGGACGAUAGACUUCUCGGGCUGGGGUGGAGCAACUCUGGUCUGAGUGCAAAUACGGGCAAUGUGGCCUGGCUCUCCGCACUUGUAACAAAUCUUGGAGGUAGGAUGUGGACCUGCAUUGGAAAGCGGUCCACCAAUAGGCCUGGGUGGAGCAUACUGCUGAGCUUGAUGAGGUGCCACAUAAGAUGGCCUCGGUACAUAUUUGGGCGGAAGAGCAGAGUUUGGAACCCAAAUCCGGCGCUUCUGAGAGCUAGAACCGGAGGAAGAUCCCAAAGCACGAGUGUGCUUACGAGACUCCUCGUAAGUGAGUUGAGCUGUCUCUGCAUUAAUGGCCUUGUUCACAAGGGCUUGGAAUGUACCACAAUGAUGCAGAUGGAGAUCACGACGCAACUUGGGGUUGAGACCCUUCCGGAACCUAGCCUGCUUCUUGGCGUCCGUGGACACCUCUUCUGUGGCAUAGCGGGCGAGGUUCUCAAACUCUCUACUAUAGGCAUCAACAGCCAUUUUAUCCUGGGUGAAACUACAGAACUCUUCUCUCUUGCGAUCAAGGAGGGCCUGGGGAAUGUGAUGCUCACGAAAAGACUCAGUGAAAUCCUUCCAGGUAGGAAUCUGGCCGGCUGGAAGCAAAGUCUCAUAGUUCUGCCACCAAAGACUAGCAGGACCUUCCAGGUGGUAUGUGGCAUAAGUGACCUUGUCAUCUUCAGCUACGUUCGCGGAACACAGCUUAUGGGUGAUGCUACGGAGCCAGUCAUCUGCAUCGAGUGGCUCGAUGGAAUGAUGAAAGAUAGGUGGAUGCAAGCGGAUAAAGUCAUGAAUGGUCACAGGCUUAUUGGACUGAUGUGCGGUGUUCUCCUCGAUACGUGCCAACAAGCGGUUGGACUCACGCUUGUUCCUCUCCAUCUCUAGCAUGAACUCUGUCAACGAAGGCUGAUCAGGAGGAUCCUCAUCCCUACCAUCUCCAUGGUUCUGGCUACGAGCAACGGAACUUCGCUUAGCUGAUGACAUCCUGAGAAACGAAACCAAGGACGAAAUCAACAUUAACUAUGGCCUGUAGAAUGUAGGACAAGGAAUUAGUAUCUCUCGAACUCCUAGGGAAAUUUCGGCAGCAUAACGGCAGUAAAAUGCUCAGAAUGAGACAUCCUACUAAAAAUGGGGUGGUAACAUACUCAAGGUUCUGAGAUCAUACUAAACAGACUACACCGGAAAUACUCAAGCUGGGGUAUGACUCUAAUCAACCAGUCUUAUGGAACUACGGAGUAGUAACACGUGAUCCUGAUAGACGGAAGAGAAGCCUAGUUCCUUAACCCUGUCGGAAAGAUAGGAUGACUCAGAUCAGAAGGCCAUGAGGUAAAGGAGUAAAAAGAGCCUUACGUUCCAUCCCACAAUCAAUUCCCUUAUAUAACUAAAGAAUUUCUAGACUCAACUUCGACCAGGUUGGCUUGGUAAACCUACAGGCAGUCAAGCUCUGAUACCAACGCUGUCAGGACCCCGACUCGAUGCCACAUCGAUCUAGCAUGUAACACCUUAUAUCACUUUGUGGCCUCACGCACGGUAUCCCCACGGGUGUCGUCUUACCUUUGCCCGGGACCGUUUGCGCAUUUUGGCACACGUAUAUGAUGGUGUCGCUAGCAUCCAUAUGAUAAAGAGCCCGGGCUGACAUGACUAGUCGUAAACCCAAAGUGGCACAGACUUACAGGGACAGGCAUCCAUGACCCAGCUUCGAACGUGUCGGUCAUCAGCAAGUGGGUUCGGGCUGUAGCACUGGGCUAGCAGGACUCCGGUAAACCGGGCUGUAGCGGGCUAACAGGACUCCGGUACUCAAAGCGUGACAUUUCCCCGAAGGGACAGACACAGGAACGAAGAAGGACACAUGCCGGCCAGCCUAAGUGUUCCAGAGCAGUAGCAAGCUACCAUGGCUCAGCGGUAACACUAGGAGACAUUUCCCGGUAAGAGAGGCUACUAAAGAUAAACAACUAGAUAGUCAGAUCCCACACAUAGCAAUACACAUUACACGUACGCAUAACAUGCAAGUAUGUGCUGUACAACAUGGCAUCACAGCAUAACUCAACAACUCAUAUAGAUAAAGGCUCAGAAGAGCCAUCACAGCAUUUAUUGCAAACAGGGGUCACAAGACCCGUCAUACAGAGCAUACAAGCAACAAGCGGAAGCAUUACAUGUCUGGGUACAGACAUCUAUAAAUGAAAAAGGCUGAAGAGCCUGACUAUCCACAACAUCCGAUCAAGAUCGUAGCUGAGGUACUAGCUACUAGUCGAAGUCCACGAGAACACUAGUAAGACCGAAGUCUCCGCUGCAAAAACAUAAAUAAAGCAACAUGAGUACAAAGGUACUCAGCAAGACUUACAUCAGAUCCUAUCAUACAUGCAUUUGUAUCAAGAGGGUAAUGUGGGGUUUAGUUGCAGCAAGCCAGCUUUGACUCUGUGGCUAUCCUAUUCUACGACUACCAGAAACUCUGGAGGUGAAAUAACGUACACGAGUCCACUAAUCACCACACAAUACACUACUAUGGAUUCAUCCCCGUCUCCCUACGAGAAGGCCAUCCAUAGCACUCACACUUGUCUUGAGCAUUUUAUAGUAUCCACUUCAAGUUGUCUAUGUACCAUGUAAGCAUCCAAGAAGUCCAUAACCGCGGACCCGGCUAUUCGAAUAGAUCAUGUUAACCCUGCAGGGGUGUACCUCUUCACACACGCUCUCGCCACUUACCGCCAUGUACACGUCAUGUAUCUCGGCAACCUUCAAGCGGAAGCCUGGCGAGGGUGUCGGCCACGACCUGACUAACCACACAAGACUCUAAUCCAGGUUUAUCGCCUAUUCGGGUUCCAUCCGCAAGGAGAUCCGGCCGGGGUUUCACUCACGGCCCCAAACGAUGUGUGCAGGGUUCCCAAGCCCACCUUGCCGGAUGGAUCUACGCUUGGUACACCGUGCCACUGGUGCCUAGUCUGUCCCAAGCCCACCUGGCCGGGUGCCACUUGGUAGACUACUAACACUACCUACAAACGCCAGAAACUAGUUGCGACUCCUGGACAGAGAUCAAGUUGAUUAAUAAGUCGAGAGGGCUUGGAGCGCCCGGAGCCCAAUGUGUGGUAGUAUCGAGUCAUUGGACAACAUACAUAGAACUCAGUGCUUAAGGACGGUUCCAGUGAGACAACCCACCAUGUACUCCUACAUGGCCUCUCACCGCUACCUUUACCAAAUCGUGUUCACACACUUCACUCUCAGCAUAGAACAUAUCGUGACACUCCAAUUCAUUCCCAAUGAACCAGACCUGACACACUCUAAGCAAUAGCAGGCAUAGCAUGGUAGGAACACAUCAGUGGCUUCAAUCAACUCCUACACAUGCUAGUGGGUUUCAACUAUUUACUGUGGCAAUGACAGGUCAUGCAGAGGAAUGGGUUCAGCUACCGCAGCACAAAGUAGCAGAUGAAUCGUUGUUGUCCUAAUGCAAUAACUGAGAGCAGGAGCGAGAGAGUAGGGUUUUAUCGAAAUGAACAAGGGGGUUUGCUUGCCUGGUAAAACAACAGGGGAGGCACUGCUUCACAGACAGGUACUCUGGAACGUCUCCGGAGCAGGAUCUAUCGAGAAGGAACAGUGCCGGCAAUCAAUACACAAUCAUAUGCAACAAUAUGAUGCAUGAACAUGGCAUGUAGAUGUGAUGCUGUUGAGCUAAUGCAACUAGUGUUCAAUUGGUUUGAAGUCCAUUUGAACCAAAGGUUCAAAUGCAUUUCUAAAUUAGGUCUCUUAUAUAAGCCAUAAUGUGUUUCCCAUAUUCAGCAUGUAUAAGUUGGUUUUUCAUGCAUGAAACUAGUACAGAUGGAAAGGUUGCAUUUUUCUGAUAAUUUUUCAUAUAUAAAUUAUUUAAAUCUGAGCUACGGUUGAAUUGUUAUGAAUUUUUGAAGUUUAAAUCAAUUUCUGGAUUUUCUGAAUUAUUUUAAUUCCAGAAAAUGUAUAAUUGCGUCAGCAUGACGUCAUCAUUGCAUCAGCGGUCAACGCGGCUGUCCAGGUCAAAUCUGACGUGUGGGACCCACACGUCAGUGACAGGGGGUUAACCCCGAGUCAAACCUGGGCUGGUCAGCUUUGACUAAGCCCUGGGGCCCACUUGUCAGCGUCAGCGGGUGGGGAAUUAGUGACUAAUUAACAAGCCACGUCAGCCCGCCGGAGUUCUGGCCGGCGGCGACCAUUAGCGCGGCGGCGACUCGCCGGACUUGCGUUACAGACAGCGUUUGAUCGCGCGAAGACCACCGGGGCGUAGCCCGUCUUCGUCCGCAACCAGGGGAGCUGAUGGGGGGCUGCGGGGGCGCCGGAGCUCGCCGGAGCGGAGCUCGGGGCGGCGGCCGGAGUUCGGGAUAGCGCGGGCGUGGGGCUGCAGCUCGCGUUCGAGCGAACGGAGGGCACAGGCGGUAGCUACGAGGCAGUAGGAGCACAUCGAGCUAUCUACGCGAGGCGGAGGUGCUCGGGGGGCACGGAGCUCGCCGGCCAUGGCGGACGGCGGCUUCGGGUGCUCGUGGGGCAGCGGCUACAGGGCACGCGCGAGAGAGAGAGGUGAGGGGAAAGGAAGAGAGGCUCACGGCGGACUCGCAGAGCAGGCCGGUGUGCUUGGGGACGUCCUGCGUCCGGCGAAUUGACGGUGAUGGCGGCGAGGUCGAUCUCCGUCGUCGGUGGUGAAGAAGACAACGGCGUCGGUGAUGGAGCGCGUCCGGAGGUGCGUGGCUUGACGAGGAGGUAGAGGGGGUCGAGGCGGAGCUGGGAAGCGUCUCAGGGAGGCGAGGGGAGGCCGGUGGCCGUGGUGGUUCUCGUCGGCGACGGCGGUGGUUCUCGGGUGAGAGGGAGAGAGAGCAGGGGGAGAGGAGGAGGGCGAGGGAGAGUGAGAGCGGUGCGGGGCAGCGCGUGGCGACGUCCGGGGCAUCGAGGGCGAGAGAAGGAAGCAGGAGGUGGCCAGCAGGGGGGAGGUGGCGCGCGCACGUGCCGGCGAGCGUCGGGCACACGCCCGUCCUCCUGGCAGAGGAGGAAGGCGACAGGGGAGGGGGGCCAGGCGGGCCGGGCCGCCUCCUGGCUGGGCCGGCCUGCUGCUGCUGGGCUGCGCAGGGGAGGGGAGGCCCAGGUAAGCCCCUCCUUCUUUUAUUUUUGUUUUCUAAUUUUUCUGACAUUUGUUUUGAUUUAAUAAAUAUAUUAAAUCAUUUAAUUUGAUUAUGCCAAUUUUUGCAGGAGCUGGAUAUUAUUAUUCCAGAGCUCUUUUAUAAAUGGCAUAAUUUUUGGGCCAUAUUUCAUAUAUAUAGAAAUAUAUUUCCAAUGCAAAUAUUUAUCGAAUUAAUCCAAUUGGCCAAAAUAAAUAACCAUGAGCUCCUAAAAAUAUUGUUUUGAUUUUUUUAUCUCUGUCCAAUAUUUUUAGAGGGCAUCAUGAGCAUUUCCUUGGACCCUUUUGGAGAAAUUUUUAUUUGGGUCAUUUUCAAAAUUGAUUCUGAGGGUUCCACCAAUCCUCAUUUCAAAUUUAAAUGAAAUUUAAACAUGAUGCACAAAUGACUAGCUAGUCUAGGUCAUACCAGACUAGGGAUGUGACAUUGCCCAAUGAUCGGCAAGCAAUUGAGAAUAAAUGGAUCUUCAAGAAGAAGAGUGACGCCGACGGUAAUAUUACUGUCUACAAAGCUCGACUUGUCUCAAAAGGGUUUCGGCAAGUUUAAGGGGUUGACUACGAUGAGACCUUCUCACCCGUAGUAAUGCUUAAGUCUGUCCGAAUCAUGUUAGCAAUUGCCGCAUUUUAUGAUUAUGAAAUUUGGCAGAUGGAUGUCAAAACUGCAUUCCUGAAUGGAUUUCUAGAAGAAGAGUUGUAUAUGAUGCAACCGGAAGGUUUUGUCGAUCCAAAGGGAGCUAACAAAGUGUGCAAGCUCCAGCGAUCCAUUUAUGGACUGGUGCAAGCCUCUCGGAGUUGGAAUGAACGCUUUGAUAGUGUGAUCAAAGCAUUUGGUUUUAUACAGACUUUUGGAGAAGCCUGUAUUUACAAGAAAGUGAGUGGGAACUCUGUAGCAUUUCUGAUAUUAUAUGUGGAUGACAUAUUACUGAUCGGAAAUGAUAUAGAAUUUCUGGAUAGCAUAAAGGGAUACUUGAAUAAGAGUUUUUCAAUGAAAGACCUCGGUGAAGCUGCUUACAUAUUAGGCAUAAAGAUCUAUAGAGAUAGAUCAAGACGUUUAAUUGGACUUUCACAAAGCACAUACCUUGAGAAGAUUUUGAAGAAGUUCAAAAUGGAUCAAGCAAAGAAAGGGUUCUUGCCUGUGUUACAAGGUGUGAAGUUGAGUCAGACUCAAUGCCCGACCACUGCAGAAGAUAGAGAGAAAAUGAAAGAUGUUCCCUAUGCUUCAGCCAUAGGCUCUAUCAUGUAUGCAAUGCUGUGUACGAGACCUGAUGUGUGCCUUUCUAUAAGUCUAGCAGGGAGGUACCAAAGUAAUCCAGGAGUGGAUCACUGGACAGCGGUCAAGAACAUCCUGAAGUACCUGAAAAGGACUAAGGAUAUGUUUCUCGUAUAUGGAGGUGACAAAGAGCUCAUCGUAAACAGUUACAUUGAUGCAAGCUUUGACACUGAUCCGGACGAUUCUAAAUCGCAAACUGGAUACGUGUUAACAUUAAACAGUGGAGCUGACAGUUGGUGCAGUUCUAAACAAAGCGUCGUGGUGGGAUCUACGUGUGAAGCGGAAUACAUAGCUGCUUCAGAAGCAACAAAUGAAGGAGUCUGGAUGAAGGAGUUCAUAUCCGAUCUAGGUGUCAUACCUAGUGCGUCGGGUCCAAUGAAAAUCUUUUGUGACAAUACUGGUGCAAUUGCCUUGGCGAAGGAAUCCAGAUUUUACAAGAGAACCAAGCACAUCAAGAGACACUUCAAUUCCAUCCGGGAUCUAGUCCAGGUGGGAGGCAUAGAGAUUUGCAAGAUACAUACGGAUCUGAAUGUUGCAGACCCGUUGACUAAGCCUCUUCCACGAGCAAAACAUGAUCAGCACCAAGGCUCCAUGGGUGUUAGAAUCAUUACUGUGUAAUCUAGAUUAUUGACUCUAGUGCAAGUGGGAGACUAAAGGAAAUAUGCCCUAGAGGCAAUAAUAAAGUUAUUAUUUAUUUCCUUAUAUCAUGAUAAAAGUUUAUUAUUCAUGCUAGAAUUGUAUUAACCGGAAACAUAAUACAUGUGUGAAUACAUAGACAAACAGAGUGUCACUAGUAUGCCUCUACUUGACUAGCUCGUUAAUCAAAGAUGGUUAUGUUUCCUAACCAUGGACAAAGAGUUGUUAUUUGAUUAACGGGAUCACAUCAUUAGUUGAAUGAUCUGAUUGACAUGACCCAUUCCAUUAGCUUAGCACCCGAUCGUUUAGUAUGUUGCUAUUGCUUUCUUCAUGACUUAUACAUGUUCCUAUGACUAUGAGAUUAUGCAACUCCCGUUUGCCAGAGGAACACUUUGUGUGCUACCAAACAUCACAACGUAACUGGGUGAUUAUAAAGGAGCUCUACAGGUGUCUCCAAAGGUACAUGUUGGGUUGGCGUAUUUCGAGAUUAGGAUUUGUCACUCCGAUUGUCGGAGAGGUAUCUCUGGGCCCUCUCGGUAAUGCACAUCACUUAAGCCUUGCAAGCAUUGCAACUAAUGAGUUAGUUGCGGGAUGAUGUAUUACAGAACGAGUAAAGAGACUUGCCGAUAAAGAGAUUGAACUAGAUAUUGAGAUACCGACGAUCGAAUCUCGGGCAAGUAACAUACCGAUGACAAAGGGAACGACGUAUGUUGUUAUGCAGUCUGACCGAUAAAGAUCUUCGUAGAAUAUGUAGGAGCCAAUAUGAGCAUCCAGGUUCUGCUAUUGGUUAUUGACCGGAGACGUGUCUCGGUCAUGUCUACAUUGUUCUCGAACCCGUAGGGUCCGCACGCUUAAGGUUUCGAUGACAAUUAUAUUAUGAGUUUAUGAGUUUUGAUGUACCGAAGUUAGUUCAGAGUCCCGGAUGUGAUCACGGACAUGACGAGGAGUCUCGAAAUGGUCGAGACAUAAAGAUUGAUAUAUUGGACGGCUAUAUUCGGACACCGGAAGUGUUCCGGGUGAUUUCGGAGAAAACCGGAGAGCCGGAGGGUUACCGGAACCCCCCCGGGAGAAGUAAUGGGCCAUAUGGGCCUUAGUGGAGAGAGAGAGGGGCAGCCAAAGGUGGGCCGCGCGCCUCCUCCCCCCUGGUCCGAAUUGGACUAGGAGAGGGGGGGCGGCGCCCCCCUUUCCCUUUCUCUCCCCACUUCCUUCCCCCUCCUAGUAGGAGUCCUACUCCUACUAGGAGGAGGACUCCUCCUUGGCGCGCCUAUAGGGCCGGCCGGCCUCCUCCCCUUGCUCCUUUAUAUACGGGGGCAGAGGGCACCCCUAGACACACAAGUUGAUCCACGUGAUCAUAUUCUUAGCCGUGUGCGGUGCCCCCUUCCACCAUAGUCCUCGAUAAUAUUGUAGCGGUGCUUAGGCGAAGCCCUGCGACGGUAGUACAUCAAGAUCGUCACCAUGCCAUCGUGCUGACGGAACUCUUCCCCGACACUUUGCUGGAUCGGAGUCCGGGGAUCGUCAUCGAGCUGAACAUGUGCUAGAACUCGGAGGUGCCGUAGUUUCGGUGCUUGAUCGGUCGGGCCGUGGAGACGUACGACUACAUCAACCAAGUUAACGCUUCCGUUGUCGAUCUACAAGGGUACGUAGAUCACACUCUCCCCCUCUUGUUGCUACGCAUCACCAUGAUCUUGCGUGUGCGUAGGAAAUUUUUUGAAAUUACUACGUUCCCCUACAAUAUGGUCACAACAUGAUGCUAAAUUUUAUUGUAUGAGAUGAUCAUGUUUUGUAACCGAGUUAUCGGCAACUGGCAGGAGCCAUAUGGUUGUCGCUUUAUUGUAUGCAAUGCAAUUGCACUGUAAUGCUUUACUUUAUCACUAAACGGUAGCAAUAGUCGUGGAAGCAUAAGAUUGGCGAGACGACAACGAUACUAUGAUGGUGAUCAAGGUGUUGCGCUGGUGACGAUGGUGAUCAUGACGGUGCUUCGAAGAUGAAGAUCACAAGCACAAGAUGAUGAUGGCCAUAUCAUAUCACUUAUAUUGAUUGCAUGUGAUGUUUAUCUUUUAUGCAUCUUAUCUUGCUUUGAUUGACGGUAGCAUUAUAAGAUGAUUCCUCACUAAAUUUUCAAAGUAUAAGUGUUCUUCCUGAGUAUGCACCGUUGCGAAAGUUCUUCAUGCUGAGACACCACGUGAUGAUCGGGGGUGAUAGGCUCUACGUUCAAAUACAACGGGUGCAAAACAGUUGCACAUGCGGAAUACUCAGGUUUAACUUGACGAGCCUAGCAUAUAACAGAUAUGGCCUCGGAACACGGAGACCGAAAGGUCGAGUGUGAAUCAUAUAGUAGAUAUGAUCAACAUAUUGAUGUUCACCAUUGAUACUACUCCAUCUCACAUGAUGAUCGGACAUGGUUUAGUUGAUUUGGAUCACGUGAUCACUUAGAGGAUUAGAGGGAUAUCUUUCUAAGUGGGAGUUCUUAAGUAAUAUGAUUAAUUGAACUUAAAUUUAUCAUGAACUUAGUACCUGAUAGUAUCUUGCUUGUCUAUGUUUGAUUGUAGAUAGAUGGCUCGUGUUGUUGUUCCGUUGAAAUUUAAUGCGUUCCUUGAGAAAACAAAGUUGAAAGAUGAUGGUAGCAAUUACACAAACUGGGUUCGUAACUUGAGGAUUAUCCUCAUUGCUGUACAGAAGAAUUAUGUCCUGGAAGCACUGCUAAGUGUCAAGCCUGCUGCAGGAGCAACACCAGAUGUUAUGAACGUCUGGCAGAGCAAAGCUGAUGACUACUCGAUAGUUCAGUGUGCCAUGCUUUACGGCUUAGAACCGGGUCUUCAACGACGUUUUGAACGUCAUGGAACAUAUGAGAUGUUCCAGGAGUUGAAGUUAAUAUUUCAAGCAAAUGCCCGGAUUGAGAGAUAUGAAGUCUCCAAUAAGUUCUAUAGCUGCAAGAUGGAGGAGAAUAGUUCUGUCAGUGAACAUAUACUCAAAAUGUCUGGGUAUCAUAAUCACUUAACUCAACUAGGGGUUAAUCUUCCUGUUGAUAGUGUCAUUGACAGAGUUCUUCAAUCACUGCCACCAACCUACAAAAGCUUCGUGAUAAACUAUAAUAUGCAAGGGAUGAAUAAGACUAUUCCUAAGCUCUUCGCAAUGCUAAAAGCCGCAAAGGUAGAAAUCAAGAAGGAGCAUCAAGUGUUGAUGGUCAAUAAGACCACCAGUUUCAAGAAAAAGGGCAAAGGAAAGAAGAAAGGGAACUUCAGGAAGAACAGCAAACAAGUUGCUGCUCAGGAGAAGAAACCCAAGUCUGGACCUAAGCCUGAGACUGAGUGCUUCUACUGCAAGCAAACUGGUCACUGGAAGCGGAACUACCCCAAGUAUUUGGCGGAUAAGAAGGAUGGCAAAGUGAACAAAGGUAUAUGUGAUAUACAUGUUAUUGAUGUGUACCUUACUAAUACUCGCAGUAGCACCUGGGUAUUUGAUACUGGUUCUGUUGCUAACAUUUGCAACUCGAAACAGGGGCUAUGGAUUAAGCGAAGAUUGGCUAAGGAUGAGGUGACGAUGCGCGUGGGAAAUGGUUCCAAAGUUGAUGUGAUCGCGGUCGGCACGCUACCUCUACAUCUACCUUCAGGAUUAGUAUUAGACCUAAAUAAUUGUUAUUUGGUGCCAGCGUUGAGCAUGAACAUUAUAUCUGGAUCUUGUUUGAUGCGAGACGGUUAUUCAUUUAAAUCAGAGAAUAAUGGUUGUUCUAUUUAUAUGAGUAAUAUCUUUUAUGGUCAUGCACCCUUGAAGAGUGGUCUAUUUUUGAUGAAUCUCGAUGGUAGUGAUACAUAUAUUCAUAAUGUUGAAAUCAAAAGAUGCAGAGUUGAUAAUGAUAGUGCAACUUAUUUGUGGGACUGCCGUUUAGGUCAUAUCGAUGUAAAGCGCAUGAAGAAACUCCAUACUGAUGGACUUUUGGAACCACUUGAUUAUGAAUCACUUGGUACUUGCAAACCGUGCCUCAUGGGUAAGAUGACUAAAACGCAGUUCUCCGGUACUAUGGAGAGAGCAACAGAUUUGUUGGAAAUCAUACAUACAGAUGUAUGUGGUCCAAUGAAUGUUGAGGCUCGUGGCGGAUAUCGUUAUUUUCUCACCUUCACAGAUGAUUUAAGCAGAUAUGGGUAUAUCUACUUAACGAAACAUAAGUCUGAAACAUUUGAAAAGUUCAAAGAAUUUCAGAGUGAAGUUGAAAAUCAUCGUAACAAGAAAAUAAAGUUUCUACGAUCUGAUCGUGGAGGAGAAUAUUUGAGUUACGAGUUUGGUCUACAUUUGAAACAAUGCGGAAUAGUUUCGCAACUCACACCACCCGGAACACCACAGCGUAAUGGUGUGUCCGAACAUCGUAAUCGUACUUUAUUAGAUAUGCUGCGAUCUAUGAUGUCUCUUACUGAUUUACCGUUAUCAUUUUGGGGUUAUGCUUUAGAGAUGGCUGCAUUCACGUUAAAUAGGACACCAUCGAAAUCCGUUAAGACGGCGCCUUAUGAACUGUGGUUUGGCAAGAAACCAAAGUUGUCAUUUCUAAAAGUUUGGGGCUGCGAUGCUUAUGUGAAAAAGCUUCAACCUGAUAAGCUCGAACCCAAAUCGGAGAAAUGUGUCUUCAUAGGAUACCCAAAGGAGACUGUUGGGUACACCUUCUAUCACAGAUCCGAAGGCAAGACUUUUGUUGCUAAAUUCAGAGUUUUUCUAGAGAAGGAGUUUCUCUCGAAAGAAGUGAGUGGGAGAAAAGUAGAACUUGAUGAGGUAACUGUACCUACUUCCUUAUUGGAAAGUAGUACAUCACAGAAACCGGUUUCUGUGACACCUACACCAAUUAGUGAGGAAGCUAAUGAUAUUGAUCAUGAAACUUCAGAUCAAGUUACUACCAAACCUCGUAGAUCAACCAGAGUAAGAUCCGCACCAGAGUGGUACGGUAAUCCUGUUCUGGAAGUCAUGCUACUAGAUCAUGAUGAACCUACAAACUAUGAAGAAGCGAUGGUGAGCCCAGAUUCCUCAAAAUGGCUAGAAGCCAUGAAAUCUAAGAUGGGAUCCAUGUAUGAGAAUAAAGUGUGGACUUUCUUUGACUUGCCCGUUGAUCGGCAAGCAAUUGAGAAUAAAUGGAUCUUCAAGAAGAAGACUGACGCUGACGGUAAUGUUACAGUCUAUAAAGCUCGACUUGUUGCAAAAGAUUUUCGACAAGUUCAAGGGAUUGACUACGAUGAGACCUUCUCACCUGUAGCGAUGUUUAAGUCUAUCCGAAUCAUGUUAGCAAUUGCCGCAUUUUAUGAUUAUGAAAUUUGGCAAAUGGAUGUCAAAACUGCAUUCCUGAAUGGAUUUCUGGAAGAAGAGUUGUAUAUGAUGCAACCAGAAGGUUUUGUUGAUCCAAAGGGAGCUAACAAAGUAUGCAAGCUCCAGCGAUCCAUUUAUGGACUGGUGCAAGCCUCUCGGAGUUGGAAUAAACGCUUUGAUAGUGUGAUCAAAGCAUUUGGUUUUGUACAGACUUUUGGAGAAGCCUGUAUUUACAAAAAAGUGAGUGGGAGCUCUGUAGCAUUUCUGAUAUUAUAUGUGGAUGGCAUAUUAUUGAUUGGAAAUGAUAUAGAAUUUCUGAAUAGCAUAAAGGGAUACUUGAAUAAGAGCUUUUCAAUGAAAGACCUCGGUGAAGCUGCUUACAUAUUAGGCAUAAAGACCUAUAGAGAUAGAUCAAAACGCUUAAUUGGACUUUCACAAACAACAUACCUUGACAAAAUUUUGAAGAAGUUCAAAAUGGAUCAAGCAAAGAAGAUUCUUGCCUGUGUUACAAGGUGUGAAAUUGAGUAAGACUCAAUGCCCGACCACUGCAGAAGAUAGAGAGAAUAUGAAAGAUGUUCCCUAUGCUUCAGCGAUAGGAUCUAUCAUGUAUGCAAUGCUGUGUACCAGACCUGAUGUGUGCCUUGCUAUAAGUCUAGCAGGGAGGUACCAAAGUAAUCCAGGAGUGGAUCACUGGACAGCGGUCAAGAACAUCCUGAAAUACCUGAAAAGGACUAAGGAUAUGUUUCUCGUAUAAGGAGGUGACAAAGAGCUCAUCGUAAAUGGUUACGUUGAUGCAAGCUUUGACACUGAUCCAGACGAUUCUAAAUCGCAAACCGGAUACAUGUUUUUACUGAACGGUGGAGCUGUCAGUUGGUGCAGUUCUAAACAAAGCGUUGUGGCGGGAUCUACAUGUGAAGCAGAGUACAUAGCUGCUUCGGAAGCAUCAAAUGAAGGAGUCUGGAUGAAGGAGUUCAUAUACGAUCUAGGUGUCAUACCUAGUGCAUUGAGUCCAAUGAAAAUCUUUUGUGACAAUAAUGGUGCAAUUGCCUUGGCAAAGGAAUCCAGAUUUCACAAGAGAACCAAGCACAUCAAGAGAUGCUUCAAUUCCAUUCGGGAUUUAGUCCAAGUGGGAGACAUAGAAAUUUGCAAGAUACAUACGGAUCUGAAUGUUGCAGACCCGCUGACUAAGCCUCUUCCAUGAGCAAAACAUGAUCAACACCAAGGCUCCAUGGGUGUUAGAAUCAUUACUGUGUAAUCUAGAUUAUUGACUCUAGUGCAAGUGGGAGACUGAAGGAAAUAUGCCCUACAGGCAAUAAUAAAGUUAUUAUUUAUUUCCUUAUAUCAUGAUAAAUGUUUAUUAUUCAUGCUAGAAUUGUAUUAACCGGAAACAUAAUACAUGUGUGAAUACAUAGACAAACAUAGUGUCACUAGUAUGCCUCUACUUGACUAGCUCGUUGAUCAAAGAUGGUUAUGUUUCCUAACCAUAGACAUGAGUUGUCAUUUGAUUAAUGGGAUCACAUCAUUAGGAGAAUGAUGUGAUUGACUUGACCCAUUUCGUUAGCUUAGCACUUGAUCGUUUAGUUUGUUGCUAUUGCUUUCUUCAUGACUUAUACAUGUUCCUAUGACUAUGAGAUUAUGCAACUCCCGUUUACCGGGGGAACACUUUGUGUGCUACCAAACGUCACAACGUAACUGGGUGAUUAUAAAGGUGCUCUACAGGUGUCUCCGAAGGUACUUGUUGGGUUGGCGUAUUUCGAGAUUAGGAUUUGUCACUCCGAUUGUCGGAGAGGUAUCUCUGGGCCCUCUCGGUAAUGCACAUCACAUAAGCCUUGCAAGCAUUGCAACUAAUAAGUUAGUUGCGGGAUGAUGUAUUACGGAACGAGUAAAGAGACUUGCGGUAACGAGAUUGAACUAGGUAUUGAGAUACCGAUGAUCAAAUCUCGGACAAGUGACAUACCGAUGACAAAGGGAACAACGUAUGUUGUUAUGCGGUCUGACCGAUAAAAGAUCUUCGUAGAAUAUGUAGGAACCAAUAUGAGCAUCCAGGUUCCGCUAUUGGUUAUUGACCGGAGACGUGUCUCGGUCAUGUCUACAUUGUUCUCGAACCCAUAGGGUCCGCACGCUUAACGUUACGAUGAUAGUUUCAUUAUGAGUUUAUAUAUUUUGAUGUACCGAAGGUUGUUCGGAGUUCUGGAUGUGAUCACGAACAUAACGAGGAGUCUCGAAAUAGUCGAGACAUAAAGAUUGAUAUAUUGGAUGACUAUAUUCGGACACAGGAAUGGUUCCGGGAGUUAUCGNNNNNNNNNNNNNNNNNNNNNNNNNNNNNNNNNNNNNNNNNNNNNNNNNNNNNNNNNNNNNNNNNNNNNNNNNNNNNNNNNNNNNNNNNNNNNNNNNNNNNNNNNNNNNNNNNNNNNNNNNNNNNNNNNNNNNNNNNNNNNNNNNNNNNNNNNNNNNNNNNNNNNNNNNNNNNNNNNNNNNNNNNNNNNNNNNNNNNNNNNNNNNNNNNNNNNNNNNNNNCGGCGCCCCCCUUUCCUUUCUCUCCUCUCUCCCUUCCUUCCCCCUCUCCUAGUUGGACAAGGAAAGGAGGGAGUCCUACUCCCGGUAGGAGUAGGACUCCUCCCUGGCGCGCCUCCUCCUGGCCGGCCGCCCCUCCCCCUUGCUCCUUUAUAUACGGGGGCAGGGGGCACCUCUAGACACAACAAUUGAUCCUUGAGAUCUAUUAGCCGUGUGCGGUGCCCUCCUCCACCAUAAUCCUCGAUAAUAUUGUAGCGGUGCUUAGGCGAAGCCCUGCGACGAUAGAACAUCAAGAUCGUCACCACGCCGUCGUGCUGACGGAACUGAACGCCGUCGUGCUGACGGAACCGCCGACAUUCUGCUGGAUCGGAGUCCGGGGAUCGUCAUCGAGCUGAACGUGUGCUAGAACUCGGAGGUACCAUAGUUUCGGUGCUUGAUCGGUCGGGCCAUGAAGACGUACGACUACAUCAACUGCGUUGUGCUAAUGCUUCCGCUUCUGGUCUACGAGGGUACGUAGACAACACUCUCCCCUCUCGUUGCUAUGCAUCACCAUGAUCUUGUGUGUGGGUAGGAUUUUUUUUGAAAUUACUACAUUCCCCAACAGUAGUUUCCAAGUUUUGGCUAUGAAUUACAUGAAUACAUACAAACCGAACUCAGUUUUCGCUUCACACAAAUAAAACUUAGUUUUCAUUUGGAACAAGCAUUGGUGUAGAAUUGGUAACCUUGGUGGAAAAUACAUAGCA
Molecule: long non-coding RNA, 34540 nt
Filed under: Triticum aestivum (bread wheat)
Lineage: Eukaryota; Viridiplantae; Streptophyta; Magnoliopsida; Poales; Poaceae
Description: long non-coding RNA (TAES_LNC015392)
Source: RNAcentral